This 943-nucleotide ribosomal RNA is filed under the name Pseudomonas sp. RNAcentral's name for it is "bacterial SSU rRNA". It matches the Rfam family "Bacterial small subunit ribosomal RNA", at positions 56 to 1007 of the family's 1533-position model. The record is from RNAcentral. Lineage: Bacteria; Pseudomonadati; Pseudomonadota; Gammaproteobacteria; Pseudomonadales; Pseudomonadaceae.
UGCAAGUCGAGCGGUAGAGAGAAGCUUGCUUCUCUUGAGAGCGGCGGACGGGUGAGUAAAGCCUAGGAAUCUGCCUGGUAGUGGGGGAUAACGUUCGGAAACGGACGCUAAUACCGCAUACGUCCUACGGGAGAAAGCAGGGGACCUUCGGGCCUUGCGCUAUCAGAUGAGCCUAGGUCGGAUUAGCUAGAUUGGUGAGGUAAUGGCUCACCAAGGCGACGAUCCGUAACUGGUCUGAGAGGAUGAUCAGUCACACUGGAACUGAGACACGGUCCAGACUCCUACGGGAGGCAGCAGUGGGGAAUAUUGGACAAUGGGCGAAAGCCUGAUCCAGCCAUGCCGCGUGUGUGAAGAAGGUCUUCGGAUUGUAAAGCACUUUAAGUUGGGAGGAAGGGCAUUAACCUAAUACGUUAGUGUUUUGACGUUACCGACAGAAUAAGCACCGGCUAACUCUGUGCCAGCAGCCGCGGUAAUACAGAGGGUGCAAGCGUUAAUCGGAAUUACUGGGCGUAAAGCGCGCGUACGUGGUUUGUUAAGUUGGAUGUGAAAUCCCCGGGCUCAACCUGGGAACUGCAUUCAAAACUGACUGACUAGAGUAUGGUAGAGGGUGGUGGAAUUUCCUGUGUAGCGGUGAAAUGCGUAGAUAUAGGAAGGAACACCAGUGGCGAAGGCGACCACCUGGACUAAUACUGACACUGAGGUGCGAAGCGUGGGGAGCAACAGGAUUACAUACCCUGGUAGUCCACGCCGUAACGAUGUCAACUAGCCGUUGGAGCCUUGAGCUCUUAGUGGCGCAGCUAACGCAUUAAUUGACCGCCUGGGGAUUACGGCCGCAGGUUAAACUCUAAUGAUUGACGGGGGCCCGCACAGCGUGGAGCAUGUGGUUAAUUCGAACCACCGCGAAAACCUUACAGGCUUGACGUCUAUGAACUUCCAAAGAUAC